UCCUGGUUCUGACCUUCUCGCCCUGACUACUGUUGGGAGAAAUACCCCUAAGGCCGCUCGGGGAGACGGGCUGUCGCCCUCGAUCCGGAGGACGAAUCAGAGGAGGAAAUCCCCAACCAUUAUCCUCAAGAAUCUGUCACUAAUAUUAUUUUUACACCUGGGUGUAAAUAAUAAAUCUUUUGAAUCUUA
This is a long non-coding RNA of Sphaeramia orbicularis (orbiculate cardinalfish), 189 nucleotides long. RefSeq lists it as uncharacterized. NCBI's taxonomy places the organism in Eukaryota, Metazoa, Chordata, Actinopteri, Kurtiformes, Apogonidae. The transcript has 2 exons. The record is from RefSeq and is a predicted model, not a curated record.